UACGGGGGGGGCAAGCGUUGUUCGGAAUUACUGGGCGUAAAGGGCUCGUAGGUGGCCAACUAAGUCAGACGUGAAAUCCCCAGGCUCAACUUGGGAACUGCGUCUGAUACUGGAUGGCUUGAAUUCGGGAGAGGGAUGCAGAAUUCCAGGUGUAGCGGUGAAAUGCGUAGAUAUCUGGGGGAAUACCGGUGGCGAAGGCGGCAUCCUGGACCGAGAUUGACACUGAUGAGCGAAAGCUAGGGGAGCAAACGGG
This 253-nucleotide ribosomal RNA is filed under the name uncultured bacterium. Its description in RNAcentral is "partial 16S ribosomal RNA". It matches the Rfam family "Bacterial small subunit ribosomal RNA", at positions 524 to 776 of the family's 1533-position model. The record is from RNAcentral.